AAAUAAUAAUAUCUUUCCUCUUUUUAUCGUAAUCUCUCUCUGUAUCGCUAUCGUCUCCCUCUAUCUAUUUGUUCUCUCCUCUUUUUUGUAUCGUCCUCCGUAUUGAUUUUUAUUCUCAUAUUUAUAGUAGAAGGGGCAGCGAGAGAUAUUUUGAGGAGUCGGUUAGGGAUUCGAAAUUCGAAAUCAAAUUUUGAAUCGGUUGUUGGAUGGAUAGGUAUUCAAAAUUCGAAUGGAUGUGGUUGGUUGGAAGAUAUUUUGGGAGUUGGUUGGGGAUUCGAAAUUCGAAAUCGGUUGUUGUGGUUGGUUGGAAGAUAUUUUUGGGGUUGGUUGGGAAUUCGAAAUUCGAAAUCGAUUUUUGAAUCGGUUGUUGGAUGGAUAGGUAUUCAAAAUUUGAAUGAAUGUGGUUGGUUGGGAGAUUUUUUUGGGCUUGGUUUCAGUUGGUUGUGAGAUAUUUUGGGAGUUGGUUGUGGUUUGUUGAGAGAUAUUUUGGAAAUUGGUUGAGAAUUUGAAAUCGAAUAUGGAUAUGGGUCGUCAUUGAUUUGGCCAAUUUAAUGAAAUUUGUUGGGCACAAAUAAUAACAUUCAGUGGGCUGAAAU
This 596-nucleotide long non-coding RNA is filed under the name Ananas comosus (pineapple). RNAcentral's name for it is "long non-coding RNA (ACOM_LNC008845)". The record is from RNAcentral. Lineage: Eukaryota; Viridiplantae; Streptophyta; Magnoliopsida; Poales; Bromeliaceae.